UACGUAGGUGGCGAGCGUUACCCGGAAUCACUGGGUGUAAAACGUGGGUAGGUGGCAUAGAAAGUACAGUGUGAAAUCCUGCGGCUCAACCGCAGGGCUGCACUGUAAACUGCUAUGCUAGAGUAGGGCAGAGGUGAGCGGAAUUCCCGGUGUACCGGUGAAAUGGGUAGAUAUCGGGAGGAACACCAUUGGCGAAAGCGGCUCACCAGGCCCUUACUUACGAUGAGCCACGAAAGCGUGGGGAGCAAACAGG
This 253-nucleotide ribosomal RNA is filed under the name uncultured bacterium. RNAcentral's name for it is "partial 16S ribosomal RNA". It matches the Rfam family "Bacterial small subunit ribosomal RNA", at positions 524 to 776 of the family's 1533-position model. The record is from RNAcentral.